This 200-nucleotide ribosomal RNA is filed under the name uncultured bacterium. RNAcentral's name for it is "partial 16S ribosomal RNA". It matches the Rfam family "Bacterial small subunit ribosomal RNA", at positions 29 to 259 of the family's 1533-position model. The record is from RNAcentral.
AACGAACGCUGGCGGCAGGCUUAACACAUGCAAGUCGAACGCCCCGCAAGGGGAUGGCAGACGGGUGAGUAACGCGUGGGAAUCUACCCAAUUCUUCGGAACAACUGAGGGAAACUUCAGCUAAUACCGGAUACGCCCUACGGGGGAAAGAUUUAUCGGAAUUGGAUGAGCCCGCGUUGGAUUAGCUAGUUGGUGGGGUA